This 254-nucleotide ribosomal RNA is filed under the name uncultured bacterium. Its description in RNAcentral is "partial 16S ribosomal RNA". It matches the Rfam family "Bacterial small subunit ribosomal RNA", at positions 524 to 776 of the family's 1533-position model. The record is from RNAcentral.
UACGGGGGGAGCAAGCGUUGUUCGGAUUUGCUGGGCGUAAAGGGCGCGUAGGCGGUCAGCACAAGUCAGUUGUGAAAUCUCCGGGCUUAACUCAGAAAGGUCAACUGAUACUGUGCGACUAGAGUGCAGAAGGGGCAACUGGAAUUCUCGGUGUAGCGGUGAAAUGCGUAGAUAUCGAGAGGAACACCUGCGGCGAAGGCGGGUUGCUGGGCUGACACUGACGCUGAGGCGCGAAAGCCAGGGGAGCGAACGGG